UGAAGUCGGAAUUGCUAGUAAUGGCAGGUCAGCAUACUGCCGUGAAUACGUUCCCGGGCCUUGUACACACCGCCCGUCACACCAUGAGAGUUGGAGAUACCCGAAGCCUAUGAGCUAACUUUUAGAGGCAGUAGUCGAAGGUAGAAUCAAUGAUUGGGGUGAAGUCGUAACAAGGUAUC
RNAcentral lists this ribosomal RNA (179 nucleotides) under uncultured bacterium. Its description in RNAcentral is "partial 16S ribosomal RNA". It matches the Rfam family "Bacterial small subunit ribosomal RNA", at positions 1321 to 1500 of the family's 1533-position model. The record is from RNAcentral.